AUUGAACGCUGGCGGUAGGCCUAACACAUGCAAGUCGAACGCGAAAGUCCUUCGGGAUGAGUAGAGUGGCGGACGGGUGAGUAACGCGUAGGAAUCUAUCCUGUAGUGGGGGAUAACGUUUCGAAAGGAACGCUAAUACCGCAUACGCCCCAAGGGGGAAAGCGGGGGAUCUUCGGACCUCGUGCUAUAGGAGGAGCCUGCGUCGGAUUAGCUAGUUGGUGAGGUAAAGGCUCACCAAGGCGACGAUCCGUAGCUGGUCUGAGAGGAUGAUCAGCCACACCGGAACUGAGACACGGUCCGGACUCCUACGGGAGGCAGCAGUGGGGAAUAUUGCGCAAUGGGCGAAAGCCUGACGCAGCCAUACCGCGUGUGUGAAGAAGGCCUCGGUUGUAG
Molecule: ribosomal RNA, 393 nt
Filed under: uncultured bacterium
Lineage: Bacteria
Description: bacterial SSU rRNA
Rfam family: Bacterial small subunit ribosomal RNA
Source: RNAcentral